Cinara cedri is the source of this 357-nucleotide non-coding RNA. Lineage: Eukaryota; Metazoa; Arthropoda; Insecta; Hemiptera; Aphididae. The record is from the annotation of a GenBank genome assembly.
GCCCUUCCAAGCUGCUUCCACUAGUUCUCUCUAAACUUUUCGAUCAUCAGCAUCUUCAAUUCUUGUCGUCCCUAAGUUUUCUAAAUCUUUGACUACUCUAUCAAACCAAUACUGUCUACCUCUUAGUCUUUUCCCGUUGGGUUUGUUGAGUAAAACAGUGAUUAAAACCUUAUGUACUUGUUUUUGCUUUACUUGCCAUACAGUGUUUGCCCAUUCUAGCCUAUUGACUUACAAACAUUUUAGUAUAUUUGGUCUGUUGAAAUCUCUUUUGAGAUUUUUCCUUUAUUCGUAGAUUCCUGAUUCCAAAUUUAAUAUGGGAUCAUAUAUUUAUACUUUCAAAGAGUAAGAAUAUUUGUU